AGUGAACGCUGGCGGUAGGCCUAACACAUGCAAGUCGAACGGCAGCACAGUAAGAGCUUGCUCUUACGGGUGGCGAGUGGCGGACGGGUGAGGAAUACAUCGGAAUCUACUUUUUCGUGGGGGAUAACGUAGGGAAACUUACGCUAAUACCGCAUAAGACCUACGGGUGAAAGCAGGGGAUCUUCGGACCUUGCGCGAUUGAAUGAGCCGAUGUCGGAUUAGCUAGUUGGCGGGGUAAAGGCCCACCAAGGCGACGAUCCGUAGCUGGUCUGAGAGGAUGAUCCGCCACACUGGAACUGAGACACGGUCCAGACUCCUACGGGAGGCAGCAGUGGGGAAUAUUGGACAAUGGGCGCAAGCCUGAUCCAGCCAUACCGCGUGGGUGAAGAAGGCCUUCGGGUUGUAAAGCCCUUUUGUUGGGAAAGAAAAGCAGCAGGUUAAUACCCCGCUGUUCUGACGGUACCCAAAGAAUAAGCACCGGCUAACUUCGUG
RNAcentral lists this ribosomal RNA (492 nucleotides) under uncultured bacterium. RNAcentral describes it as "partial 16S ribosomal RNA". It matches the Rfam family "Bacterial small subunit ribosomal RNA", at positions 29 to 507 of the family's 1533-position model. The record is from RNAcentral.